UGUUAAAGAAAUAUAAAAAGAAGAAAAACAAAAAACGCACUUGAGAGAGAUGAGAAAAGGGGGAGGUAGCGGGCGUGCUUGUCUGACCCUUGGAAGCUGAGAGCCCAAGAAGAAGAAGAAAAACAGUGGAGAUAGAGGUAAUUUAUCUUUAAUAUAUUUUGGUCAACCUAUAUGGAUCCAAUGGCCGAAGAGCAAAUAGAUUAUGAUGAUGAAGAGUAUGGAGGGGCUCAGAAGACACAAUAUCAAGGAAGUGGAGCCAUACCUGCCCUUGCAGAUGACGAACUGAUGGGAGAAGAUGACGACUAUGAUGAUCUCUACAAUGAUGUUAAUGUUGGAGAGGGUUUCCUGCAGCUGCACCGGUCUGAGGCGACACUGCCACCUGCUGGUGUUGGCAAUGGAGGACUUCAAACUCAGAAAACUGAUGUUCCUGGGCAAAGAGUGGAGGCUGGGGGCUCACAAGCACUCAACAUUCCUGGUGUUUCAGUUGAAGGCAAGUAUUCUAAUGCUGGUGCUCAUUAUCCUGAGCAGAAGGAGGGGCCAUCUGCUGUUAAGGGCGCAGAAGUUGGACCUGUUAGUUAUCCAGAUGGGCCAGUCUCACACAGAGGUAGGGUUGUGGACAUGCCUCAUGAUGCCCAAUUUAAAAGUAUGGGGUUUCAAGGAUCCACACCUGUGCCCCCCAAUUCUGGGGCUGACCCUUCUGAUAUGCCUGGAAAAAUUAGCAGUGAGCCCAUGCCUGUGCUGAAUUCUGGAACUGGUGGUCCUCGAACUGUUCCGCCUGCUAAUCAAAUCAGUGUGAAUGUAAAUGUCAAUCAUCCGAUAGUUAAUGAAAAUCAGAUCCGGCCCCCUGUAGAGAAUGGUCAAACCAUGCUGUUUGUGGGAGAACUACAUUGGUGGACUACUGAUUCAGAGCUUGAAAGUGUUUUAUCUCAAUAUGGGAGGGUCAAGGAAAUUAAGUUUUUUGAUGAAAGAGCUAGUGGUAAAUCCAAAGGCUAUUGUCAGGUUGAAUUCUAUGAGGCAGCUGCAGCCACUGCAUGCAAAGAGGGAAUGAAUGGUCAUGCUUUCAAUGGCCGAGCUUGUGUUGUGGCCUUUGCUUCUCCGCAAACAUUAAAACAGAUGGGAGCUUCAUAUGCGAACAAAAACCCACCUCAGACUCAGGCUCAACCUCAGGGAAGGAGGCCAAUGAAUGAUGGUGCAGGGAGAGGGGGCAAUAUGAAUUAUCAAAGUGGAGAUGGAGGAAGAAAUUAUGGACGGGGUGGAUGGGGACGGGGUGGACAGGGUGUACUCAACCGAGGCCCUGGGAGGGGAAGAGGAGGGGCCAUGGGUGCAAGGAACAUGGUUGGGAACAAUGGUGGAGUUGGAGGUGCCACUGGAGGAGGUUACGGUCAAGGCCUUGCAGGUCCUGCAUUUGGGGGUCCUGCUGGUGGUAUGAUGAACCCACAGGGUAUGAUGGGAUCUGGAUUUGAUCCAACAUAUAUGGGUCGUGGAGGCGGGUAUGGAGGGUUUCCAGGUCCUGCUUUUCCUGGAAUGCUUCCAUCUUUUCCAGCUGUUAAUACAAUGGGACUUGCUGGUGUGGCACCUCAUGUCAACCCAGCCUUCUUUGGUCGGGGAAUGGCAGCUAAUGGAAUGGGAAUGAUGGGUUCUGCUGGAAUGGAUGGUCAUCAUCCUGGGAUGUGGAAUGACACGAACAUGGGUGGAUGGGGAGGAGAAGAACAUGGUAGAAGGACGAGGGAGUCAAGCUAUGGUGGUGAUGAUGGUGCUUCUGAAUAUGGGUAUGGUGAGGCAAAUAAUGAAAAAGGAGUGAGGUCAAGUGCUGCCUCUAGGGAAAAAGAACGGGGAUCUGAGCGUGACUGGUCAGGAAACUCUGAGAGGAGGCCUCGUGAAGAGAGGGAACAGGACUGGGACAGGUCUGAAAGGGAGCCCAGGGAACACCGGUAUAGGGAAGAGAAAGAUAGUUAUCGAGACCAUCGGCCAAGAGAACGUGACGUGGGUUAUGAGGAUGAAUGGGACAGAGGGCAGUCUUCUUCAAGACCUCGGAGCAGGUCCCGAGCGGUGCCGGAGGAAGAUCGCAGGUCUCGAUCUAGGGAUGUUGAUUAUGGAAAAAGGAGACGCUUGCCAUCAGAGUGACACAAGCAUGAUGUCAUCUUCUUUGGCAGGUCUUAUGAGACCUCACAAUCUAUGUUCUCAGUUGUAGAUUUUCUCCCUUGGAUCCUAUUCUCUCUGGUUCUCAGCGGCCCCACAUUCAGAGUGUGGCUUCCUUGAGGGAAGAAGGAGUGGAGUAGGCAACAUUUUGUUUUCAUGGUUGAAUCAGCCUGUGCUGGUUUCAUGGAGGAAGAUGUGUUAAAUGGGUGCCUUUAUUGGAUUCCUCUGGUGAUGGCUUUGGUCUGCCAAGUGUGCAAAAGUAGCCUUAUACCAUCUAAAAAUCUGUAAAUUGUGCUCCUGCAAGAAAUGUCUAGAAAGAGUUGAGUUUACAAAUAUUUCAAAUAGUUGCAUAUUCGUGUACAGUUUGUGGAUACAAUCACCAUGUCUGUCGGUCUCUCUGUAAAGCACAAUACCUUUUUAUUUUUUUGAUAAGUCUAUGUAAAGCACAAUCUUGUGUAAAGUUGACUUUAUGUAUUAGGCCACAAUGUGUAACGGUCUCUUUUGUUGUUUGACUGUAUUGGUUCUAUCUCUGAGCUUGUAAAAGUUUCGUAGGCCCAUACUUGAUGUAUUGUAACUGAUAAUGUUUGUUCUUCACGUUAGGAGAGUCAGGGUCGAGCUAUUAGUCCAUUGUAACAUAUGGUCACUGUUUCAAUUGUAAUUGGUCAUUGUAAAAUUUGUACAACCCUGUUUCUGUUGAGGCAAUGUCCCUGAAAGCAGAAAGGAUUUCAGAGUUAUUCUUUAAUUGUAUUAUGUAAACUGUGAGGAUUACUUGGGUUUAGGGUCAGGACUCAGGAGUCGUGUAUUGAUGCUACAGUAUAAUAGACUCGGGACCUGAAGAUUUUUGGUUGCUUGGCAUGGUGCUGCUCCUUGUGUACCUUUUGUUUUAACCUUUUAUAUGUAUUUCGUUUUAUCUGUGAAGCAGUUUCUUUUGUACUAACGGGUUUAGAAUUUGUAAGUGUUCUUGUCCUGUUUGUUUAAAUGGGAUUUGGAAUGUAUCCCAAUAAUGUAAACUGGAUCAUGUUAUUUUAGUAGUUUUGUUAGGACUGCAUCAUCUUUGAUGGAGGUGUGCUUGCUCAGCGACUUGCUUCAGUGUGUUUUUCCUGAUUGGUACUACUUGCUCAAUGAAAGCUUACAAGGUUUUUAUUCACAACUUCUUCUUUGUUGGAAGCUUCAGUGUCGCUUAUCCAGUCUCUUCAUCUAUCCCCCUCUUUUUGUGGUGUUAUUUUGUUAAGAGAAUCUUUUUUACUAGAAUUUGUUACUGAAUUAAUCUGCCAGUAAUGGUGUAAUUGAGCUUGGUUAUCAUUUU
This is an RNA transcript of Corylus avellana, 3445 nucleotides long. It is a transcript of the gene named RNA-binding (RRM/RBD/RNP motifs) family protein, with no coding region annotated. Lineage: Eukaryota; Viridiplantae; Streptophyta; Magnoliopsida; Fagales; Betulaceae. The record is from RefSeq and is a predicted model, not a curated record.